GCGGUUCCAGCCACAGACGAAGGGGGUUGAGGAAAAGAGUUGGGGGCCGGGUGAGGGAAGUCGGGGUGCGGCCAGACGGACAUACCUUGGGCAUUCAGGUAAUAAUUUCAAGAUGCCAGGGCGUUCCAAUUCAAGUUCAGGUGCAACUGGUUUCAUAUCCUUCAGCGGUGUAGAGUCUGCUCUCUCCUCCUUAAAAAGCUUCCAAUCCUGUAUCAACUCUGGAAUGGAUACAGCAUCUGGUGUUGCUUUGGAUCUUGUGGAAACUCAGACUGAAGUGAGUAGUGAAUAUAGUAUGGACAAGGUGAUGGUUGAAUUUGCUAUAAUGGAUCGUCAACUAAACCAUUAUGUAAAGGCUGUUCAAUCUGCAAUAAAUCAUCUACCAUGCUUAGCACAUAGAGGGCACUCAUUGACUGUUGGAUGGGUAAAAGAAGAACGUCCAGAAAAAAUACCAGACUUAAAAUUAUUAGUGGAGAAGAAAUUUUUGACUUUACAGAGUAAGAAUUCUGACGCAGACUUUCAAAAUAAUGAAAAAUUUGUGCAGUUUAAACAACAGCUUAAAGAACUAAAGAAACAAUAUGGUCUUCAGUCAGACAGAGAGGCUGAUGGAACAGAAGGGACUGAUGAAGACAUGAUUGUGACCCAGAGUCAGACCAACUUCAUCUGCCCCAUCACACAGCUGGAAAUGAAAAAGCCGGUGAAAAAUAAAGUGUGUGGCCACACCUAUGAGGAGGAGGCCAUCGUUCGCAUGAUCGAGUCCAAGCAUAGGCGGAAGAAGAAGGCCUGUUGCCCUAAAAUUGGCUGUAGCCACACAGAUAUAAGGAGGUCAGAUCUCAUCCAGGAUGAAGCACUCAGAAGGGCGAUUGAGAGCCACAAUAAGAAAAAACAUCGUCAAUCCGAGUAGGGAAAAGCCACCUGCCGCAGGGAAGUCAGCAGCUACCUCCUACCCCAGCCAUCUGAAUGAAGUCCAGGCCUGGCAUUCAGGAUUCUACCACAGACGAGCCUCCUUCUCUCCCUCCAAGGCUGCCCCAUCUUCCCAACAUUCCAGCUCCCCCUCUCUUUGUGGCAGUAUUUCUUCCAGCAGGGCAGCUAACCCUCAGUACUCCUGACUAGGAAGUGUCAGUGACCUCAAGCCAAUCUCUUCACUGCUCCAGGCCGCAAGUUUGCCAUAUAAACUAAAAGAUGGAGACCUCUCCCUAAGGUUUCUUUAAAAGCUCUAAGAUUACAUGUCAUAUUUUCAAUGAAUAGGUCCUCUGGGAAGUAUACAGCCCUUUUGAAGGAAAGCAGGCUGAAAUGGAAAUUAGUAUAUAUUUGAACCAAAUGUGUACAUUGAAUCUUCAACUGUUUAUUCAACAAAUAUUUUUAGGCCAACUUUAUGCCAUGUUUUGUGGUAGUCUCAGGGUACAAAAAUUCCCCCUCUGAAGACCUUGUCUAGUUGGGCAGACAGACGUAAAAAACUAAAUUCCAUAAAAGGUUGUGUGAGUGCUGUGCAUAGGGGACAGUAACACAAAGAAAAUAAAUACAGGAAAAUGAUUGAGUAGACAAAAAUUAUGUUUUAGUAGAUCAGGUAACAAGGUUCAAAACAAAUAAUAAAAAGUCAGUGAAAGCUCUGACUGGGAGAUGGGAUGGGGUGUUGAAUCUUGAGGGUGGAUCACCCAGCUGCAUGGAAAUCGGUUAUGUUUUGGAAAUGUGCCUUCAAGCUUAUGCCAGAUUUGUGGAGGGGGGAUAACAAUUCUGAAAAGAAGUCAGAUAAAACUGAGGGGGUACAGGGACCCUCAUACAUUGCUUGUGGAAAUGCAAAUCACAGCCACGUUGAAAUCAGUUUGGCUUUUUAAAAAAAUGUUAAACAUAAAACUUACCACACAACCCAGUAAUUCCACUCCUAGGUGUGUCUACCCAAGAGAAGUAGAAACAUAUGUUCAUACAAAGACUUGUGUAUAAAUAUUCAUAACAGCAUGACUUAUAAGAGCAAAAAAAUUUUUGGAAACAAUCCAAAUAUCCACCCGGGGAAUGGGUAAACAGUAUGUGGUGAAUCCAUACAAUGGAAUACUAUUUGGCAAUAAAAAGUAAUAAAGUACUUUUAAAAAACCUC
Molecule: RNA transcript, 2089 nt
Organism: Galeopterus variegatus (Sunda flying lemur)
Lineage: Eukaryota; Metazoa; Chordata; Mammalia; Dermoptera; Cynocephalidae
Gene: NSMCE2
Gene name: non-SMC element 2, MMS21 homolog (S. cerevisiae)
Exons: 9
Source: RefSeq, a predicted model, not a curated record